This is a long non-coding RNA of Pocillopora damicornis (cauliflower coral), 296 nucleotides long. Lineage: Eukaryota; Metazoa; Cnidaria; Anthozoa; Scleractinia; Pocilloporidae. The record is from RefSeq and is a predicted model, not a curated record.
AGCUGAUUUUAUGGGAAUGAGGGUAAUGAGGCCUUCAAGAAAGGAGAUUUCAUCAAUGCUAUUCAUUUUUACACCAAAGGAAUUAAAAUGAACUGCAAUGACAAAGAAUUGAAAGCCAAACUGCACAACAACAGGGCUAUUGCACAUUCUAAACUUGGAAAUCACCAGGAUUCACUAAGGGAUGCAGAAGCAGCCAUUGAGUUAAAUCCAACUUUCCUUAAGGCAAUUGUGAGAGGUUAGAUUUGUUAGCUGUACUAUAAUAAUAAUAACACUAAUAAUAAUAAUAAUAAUAAUAA